Lolium rigidum is the source of this 379-nucleotide long non-coding RNA. RefSeq lists it as uncharacterized. NCBI's taxonomy places the organism in Eukaryota, Viridiplantae, Streptophyta, Magnoliopsida, Poales, Poaceae. The record is from RefSeq and is a predicted model, not a curated record. The transcript has 3 exons.
GUUUCACUGGAAGUAUUAGCGCUCAACGAUAACAACAUCACCAGAGGUCUUCCCGGCACAGCUGUUAAAAAUCUUAGGAACUUGCGACAAUUGAAUAUGACUUCGAAUAGCUGCCACGGAAACCUCCCGGAAUCACUAUUUUCACUUCCACACCUAAAGAUCCUAGAUCUCUCAGCAAAUUUCUUUGGUGGGCAUAUUCCAAUUAGCUCAGCGUCAAGACCAAUUUCUCUUCAAGUCUUGGAUCUUAGCUCUAAUCAGCUCAAUGGAACUUUACCCGUUGCUGCCUUUCAAAACAUCAGGAACUUGAAUUUGUCUGCCAACCAGUUCAGAGGAUCUCUCCCUGUAUCAUUAUUUGCACUUCCUCAUCUGAAGUUCCUAG